GGGAACGGGACGAUCAGCAAUGAUCUCCGCGGUUCGGUGUUUGGGGACGGGUGGCAUAAGCCGUUGGGGGACGGCGCGACCCGAGACCGGCGGUUAGUGCGGGCGACGCCUAUGGGGAUGGGGGUCGCCCGCCGCCGCCGGCGCUUUUCUUUGUGUGCACGUGACCGUUCC
This 171-nucleotide small RNA is filed under the name Actinoplanes sp. SE50/110. RNAcentral describes it as "non-coding RNA with unknown function". Lineage: Bacteria; Bacillati; Actinomycetota; Actinomycetes; Micromonosporales; Micromonosporaceae. The record is from RNAcentral.